RNAcentral lists this ribosomal RNA (543 nucleotides) under Triticum aestivum (bread wheat). RNAcentral's name for it is "partial small subunit ribosomal RNA". Lineage: Eukaryota; Viridiplantae; Streptophyta; Magnoliopsida; Poales; Poaceae. The record is from RNAcentral.
AUGCUCCAGUGCAGAAGAACCUGGGUUGUCGCCAAGGUGCAAGUGGGGCGCGUCCCAACCCUGCCACCCCCUCCCAAAGGCGUUGCCCCUCUUCAGCAAGUCACGGCAGCGCCUCCGCCACCGGCUGCACCUGCCCCAGCUGUGCAGGUCUUCGAUGAGCGCUACAAGGAUAUGGUAUGUUUUACUUGUGGAGGCCCUGGUCACUACGUGGGUAAUUGCAUCCAGAAGAAAGUUUGCUUUAUCUGUGGAUUGGAAGGGCACAACGUCAACAACUGCGCAGCUUGGGCGCAACCUCAUCCAUUUGCUACCUUAUUUGGGAGCUCAACCCUGGGUUUAGGGUUUUACCGCAUUGACGCUCCUGUGGGUUGUGAGGCAAGUUGGCUCAACUUUAGAAACUGUGGAGAGGUCUGGGUCAUGAAAGGAGAGAUCAACAAGUCGGAUUUGAUUAAGAACCUGUCAAAGAUUUUAUGCAAAAACAAACAAUGGACUUGGCAAGUCAAGCCCCUUUUAGACAAAAAAUUCUUAGUUAGAUUCCCACCCUAG